CCUACGGGGGGCUGCAGUGGGGAAUAUUGCGCAAUGGGCGAAAGCCUGACGCAGCGACGCCGCGUGGAGGAUGAAGGUCUUAGGAUUGUAAACUCCUGUUAAGUGGGAAGAAAAGUCUAUCAGUAAUAUGGGUAGAUUAUGACGGUACCGCUAGAGAAAGCACCGGCUAACUUCGUGCCAGCAGCCGCGGUAAUACGAGGGGUGCAAGCGUUAUUCGGAUUUACUGGGCGUAAAGGGUGUGUAGACGGUUUGCUAAGUCUGUUGUUAAAUACUCUGGCUUAACUGGAGAUCAGCAGUGGAAACUAGUAGACUAGAGGUUGGGAGAGAGAAGUGGAAUUCCCGGAGUAGCGGUAAAAUGCGUAGAUCUCGGGAGGAACACCGAUGGCGAAAGCAGCUUCUUGGCCCAUACCUGACGUUGAGACACGAAAGCGUGGGGAGCAAACAGGAUUAGAUACCCUUGUAGUC
This 465-nucleotide ribosomal RNA is filed under the name uncultured bacterium. RNAcentral's name for it is "bacterial SSU rRNA". It matches the Rfam family "Bacterial small subunit ribosomal RNA", at positions 338 to 795 of the family's 1533-position model. The record is from RNAcentral.